This 60-nucleotide microRNA precursor is filed under the name Vicugna pacos (alpaca). RNAcentral describes it as "miRNA (ENSVPAG00000017015.1)". The record is from RNAcentral. Lineage: Eukaryota; Metazoa; Chordata; Mammalia; Artiodactyla; Camelidae.
GUAAGUGAAUGUGUGUGUGUUCAUGUGUGUACAUAUGUACGUGUGCAUGUGCAUGUGCAU